GCUGGAAUUGCUAGUAAUGGCAGGUCAGCAUACUGCCGUGAAUACGUUCCCGGGCCUUGUACACACCGCCCGUCACACCAUGAGAGUUGGAAAUACCCGAAGCCUGUGAGCUAACUGUAAAGAGGCAGCAGUCGAAGGUAGAGCCAAUGAUUGGGGUGAAGUCGUAACAAGGUAUC
RNAcentral lists this ribosomal RNA (176 nucleotides) under uncultured bacterium. RNAcentral's name for it is "partial 16S ribosomal RNA". It matches the Rfam family "Bacterial small subunit ribosomal RNA", at positions 1325 to 1500 of the family's 1533-position model. The record is from RNAcentral.